GGAGAGAUGGUUGGUGUAAUGAGAUGCUCUGUGGGGUUUAUUGAAACCAAAGUAAACAACAUCCCAGCGCAAGUCCAGCGGUAGCUGCAGAACGUGAUCCGCUCGAAGCAAGUGUGUGUCCCUUUGUGGAUUUGACUGGAAUGUAGCGUCUAAAAGACCAAAUAGAAAUAAACAGUUCACGAAAGA
Long non-coding RNA from Chiloscyllium plagiosum (whitespotted bambooshark), 186 nucleotides. RefSeq lists it as uncharacterized. Lineage: Eukaryota; Metazoa; Chordata; Chondrichthyes; Orectolobiformes; Hemiscylliidae. The record is from RefSeq and is a predicted model, not a curated record.